Molecule: ribosomal RNA, 374 nt
Filed under: uncultured organism
Description: partial 16S ribosomal RNA
Rfam family: Bacterial small subunit ribosomal RNA
Source: RNAcentral
GUAGGUGGCAAGCGUUGUCCGGAAUUAUUGGGCGUAAAGCGCGCGCAGGCGGUUCUUUAAGUCUGAUGUGAAAGCCCACGGCUCAACCGUGGAGGGUCAUUGGAAACUGGAGAACUUGAGUACAGAAGAGGAAAGCGGAAUUCCACGUGUAGCGGUGAAAUGCGUAGAGAUGUGGAUGAACACCAGUGGCGAAGGCGGCUUUCUGGUCUGUAACUGACGCUGAGGCGCGAAAGCGUGGGGAGCAAACAGGAUUAGAUACCCUGGUAGUCCACGCCGUAAACGAUGAGUGCUAAGUGUUAGGGGGGUUUUCCGCCCCCCUUAGUGCUGCAGCUAACGCAUUAAGCACUCCGCCUGGGAGUACGGCCGCAAGGCUG